Molecule: ribosomal RNA, 17 nt
Filed under: Saprolegnia anisospora
Lineage: Eukaryota; Oomycota; Saprolegniomycetes; Saprolegniales; Saprolegniaceae
Description: partial 28S ribosomal RNA
Source: RNAcentral
UUGGACCUGAUAUCAAA